UAAUCUAACGGACACAAAUGCACAGAGAUUAAAAACCAUUUUUUUCUUCUAUCUCCUCCUUCCUCGCCUCUGUUGGGAUUCCCUUACUUGAUCUCGACUCUCCUUAUUUUUCAGUUUCUUCCUUCUUUGACUACAAUGAAAGCGGAGAUGGUGAAGCCUCGGAAGGCGCACGGAAGCUGUAGUGGAGGAAGCCCCGCCUCUGUCGUUGUUGUGAAGGAAGCACCGUGACGCAUCUCUACUCUGUGACGUCUCCCUCCUUCACAGCAAAGACCACUCAUCUUCUUUGAAUCUCUGGUUUGGUGGAUGACAGAGGAAGCUAGUGGAGGUCGAACCAAGCUCUUGGUGACUGGAGGAGGCAAGCCCGUGGCGUCAUUCUCAUUCAGAUACGUCUCUGCUCCUCCGCCAUCCCUCUCCUUCAAAUCCGUCUCUGAUCUUCGGUCCUGUUCCUCUCUUCCCCUCCGCUGUCUUCUCCUCUCUUCCCUACUCUGCUCCUCCACAACAAGACGAAAGAGAAAGAAGGAAAGAAGCAAAGAAGAAGAAGAGACAUCACCGUAACUUGCUCAGAUUCGGCUGGCCAGAGAGGAUGAAGAAGAAGACGCUGUGAAGGUAGUUGAACGCGGUGGUGGUUGAAGGCGGCUGAGUUAGAGGAUAGGGAGUCUUCGUUUUUUUUUUAGGUUUAGUUUUUUUUUGGUUUAGUGUAACCAAAAAUUGUAGUGGUUUAACUUUAUUUUUUAAUUUCUGGUUAGGUUUUUAAACCGGAAUUUAUUUGUAAACCAAUUUUAAUUUAUAAAUAAAAUUUAUUUUAUUUUUAA
This is a long non-coding RNA of Raphanus sativus (radish), 812 nucleotides long. RefSeq lists it as uncharacterized. Lineage: Eukaryota; Viridiplantae; Streptophyta; Magnoliopsida; Brassicales; Brassicaceae. The record is from RefSeq and is a predicted model, not a curated record. The transcript has 2 exons.